Molecule: non-coding RNA, 125 nt
Organism: Triticum aestivum (bread wheat)
Lineage: Eukaryota; Viridiplantae; Streptophyta; Magnoliopsida; Poales; Poaceae
Source: Rfam
UUCCUACUCCCUUCGUCCGGAAAUACUUAUCAGAUAAAUGGAUAAAAAUGGAUGUACCUAGAACUAAAAUACGUCUAGAUACAUCCAUUCCUCCGACAAGUAUUUCCGGACGGAGGGAGUACUAG